AAUCCAGGUACACAGUUCUUUCCAAGAAAGAAUGACUUAAUUUCACUCGUGCUCGUAACCUGAUAAUCCUGUAGAUGACCGUAUUACCAUUGACUCAAACUCAUUAUUACCAAGCCACUUAAUUUAGUCCAAGGAAAUUAAAAUCAUUUAAAGAGUUCUAAUGGUUUGCUAAUGUGGUAGGGGAGAUGAAACACACUGGCCA
Molecule: unclassified non-coding RNA, 202 nt
Filed under: Hevea brasiliensis (rubber tree)
Lineage: Eukaryota; Viridiplantae; Streptophyta; Magnoliopsida; Malpighiales; Euphorbiaceae
Source: RNAcentral